GAGGCUCCCACGGCUGCCUGGUGAGAAGCUGCAGGCCCAGCUUCCAGCCUCGGCUCUGUCCUCACAUCCAUUGCUCCUCUCCCUGGGCCUCCAUCUCCUCCUCGGCUCACAGCGGGUAGGAAGGGAAGCAUGCUGUCCACCUCUGAGAACUUUCACCAGCCAUGAUGAAAGCUAUGAAGGAAUGGGAUGCUACGACAGAGACGACUGACAGGGAUCCCGUCUUCAGAGAGGAAAACACUACUGUGGGGUCUGUCCCAGCCUCCAACGUUUCACAACUUAAACUGUAAGGUAUAUACCCAGGAGAGAAACUGCUGGGUCAUAUAUCAAUAAUAACUCUUGUUUUAGUUUUUUUGAGAAAACCCCAUACUGUCUUCCACAGUGGCUGCACCAAUUUACAUUCUAAGGUGGGUGUUUCUUAACACACCCCACCCCUACCCCAGCCCCAGCAUGCCGCCACCAAUGUGCUCUGUGACGUGGGACAAGCCCCUUCGCGGCCUGGGUCUCAGUUUCCCCAUCUGUCAAUGAGAACAUGACGGG
Lagenorhynchus albirostris (white-beaked dolphin) is the source of this 537-nucleotide long non-coding RNA. RefSeq lists it as uncharacterized. The record is from RefSeq and is a predicted model, not a curated record. The transcript has 3 exons. Lineage: Eukaryota; Metazoa; Chordata; Mammalia; Artiodactyla; Delphinidae.